AAUUGAUCUGAACUUACUUUUAAGUCUUUGUAUCUCUAAGUGAAAUAAAAUCUCUCCGAACUGUAUAAGAAGUUAUUUUUAGAUCCAUGUCAUCCACCCAAGUCACAUGCUGCCAUUUAAGUCUAUAAAAAUGACAAAAGUGCCCUUUGAUGGUUUUAGAGGAAAAGAUUAAUUCUUGUAACCAAACCAUGUAUCCAGGUA
This 201-nucleotide long non-coding RNA is filed under the name Elaeis guineensis (African oil palm). RNAcentral's name for it is "long non-coding RNA (EGUI_LNC032418)". The record is from RNAcentral. Lineage: Eukaryota; Viridiplantae; Streptophyta; Magnoliopsida; Arecales; Arecaceae.